AGAGUGUGCUCCUGGCUCAAGACGAACGCUGGCGGCGCGCCUAACACAUGCAAGUCGAACGAGCGAGAGAGAGCUUGCUUUCUCGAGCGAGUGGCGAACGGGUGAGUAAGGCGUGAGGAACCUGCCUCAAAGAGGGGGACAACAGUUGGAAACGACUGCUAAUACCGCAUAAGCCCACAGGUCGGCCUCGACCAGAGGGAAAAGGAGCAAUCCGCUUUGAGAUGGCCUCGCGUCCGAUUAGCUAGUUGGUGAGGUAACGGCCCACCAAGGCAACGAUCGGUAGCCGGACUGAGAGGUUGAACGGCCACAUUGGGACUGAGACACGGCCCAGACUCCUACAGGAGGCAGCAGUGGGGAAUAUUGCACAAUGGGGGAAACCCUGAUGCAGCGACGCCGCGUGGAGGAAGAAGGUCUUCGGAUUGUAAACUCCUGUUGUUGAGGAAGGUAAUGACGGUACUCAACAAGGAAGUGACGGCUAACUACGUGCCAGCAGCCGCGGUAAAACGUAGGUCACAAGCGUUGUCCGGAAUUACUGGGUGUAAAGGGAGCGCAGGCGGGAAGACAAGUUGGAAGUGAAAUCUAUGGGCUCAACCCAUAAACUGCUUUCAAAACUGUUUUUCUUGAGUAGUGCAGAGGUAGGCGGAAUUCCCGGUGUAGCGGUGGAAUGCGUAGAUAUCGGGAGGAACACCAGUGGCGAAGGCGGCCUACUGGGCACCAACUGACGCUGAGGCUCGAAAGUGUGGGUAGCAAACAGGAGUAGAUACCCUGGUAGUCCAC
This 777-nucleotide ribosomal RNA is filed under the name uncultured bacterium. RNAcentral's name for it is "bacterial SSU rRNA". It matches the Rfam family "Bacterial small subunit ribosomal RNA", at positions 8 to 798 of the family's 1533-position model. The record is from RNAcentral.